AUUACUUUAGCUUAAGGGUAAAGCAGGAUCCUUCUAAGAUCCCUAUUCAGGUUCGAAUCCUGGAAGUGAUU
Molecule: transfer RNA, 71 nt
Organism: Wallemia ichthyophaga EXF-994
Lineage: Eukaryota; Fungi; Basidiomycota; Wallemiomycetes; Wallemiales; Wallemiaceae
Rfam family: tRNA
About the family: Transfer RNA (tRNA) molecules are approximately 80 nucleotides in length. Their secondary structure includes four short double-helical elements and three loops (D, anti-codon, and T loops).
Source: Rfam